GGGGCCAUGGCUCAGUGGUGGAGCCACUGCUUUGCAUGCAGAGGUUGCAGGUUUGAUCCCUGGCAUCUCCA
Molecule: transfer RNA, 71 nt
Filed under: Sphaerodactylus townsendi
Lineage: Eukaryota; Metazoa; Chordata; Lepidosauria; Squamata; Sphaerodactylidae
Description: tRNA-Ala
Rfam family: tRNA
About the family: Transfer RNA (tRNA) molecules are approximately 80 nucleotides in length. Their secondary structure includes four short double-helical elements and three loops (D, anti-codon, and T loops).
Source: RNAcentral